AGAAUCAACGCUGGCGGCGUGCCUAACACAUGCAAGUCGAACGAGAAAGUGGAGCAAUCCAUGAGUAAAGUGGCGACCGGGUGAGUAACACGUGACUAACCUACCUUCGAGUGGGGGAUAACCUCGGGAAACCGGGGCUAAUACCGCAUAAAAUCUUUGGAUCGGAAGAACUGGAGAUCAAUGGAGCAAUUCGCUUGAAGAGGGGGUCGCGGCUGAUUAGCUAGUUGGCGGGGUAAUGGCCCACCAAGGCUUUGAUCGGUAGCCGGCCUGAGAGGGCGCACGGCCACACUGGAACUGAAACACGGUCCAGACUCCUACGGAGGCAGCAGUGGGGAAUUUUGCGCAAUGGGGGAAACCUGACGCAGCAACGCCGCGUGGAGGAUGAAGUCCCUUGGGACGUAAACUCCUUUCGACCGGGACGAUUAUGACGGUACCGGUGGAAGAAGCCCCGGCUAACUUCGCGCCAGCAGCCGC
RNAcentral lists this ribosomal RNA (474 nucleotides) under uncultured bacterium. Its description in RNAcentral is "SSU rRNA". It matches the Rfam family "Bacterial small subunit ribosomal RNA", at positions 26 to 518 of the family's 1533-position model. The record is from RNAcentral.